UAAAGAAUAAGGAUCGGCUAACUCCGUGCCAGCAGCCGCGGUAAUACGGAGGAUCCAAGCGUUAUCCGGAUUUAUUGGGUUUAAAGGGUGCGUAGGCGGCGUUGUAAGUCAGUGGUGAAAGUUUGCAGCUUAACUGUAAAAUUGCCAUUGAUACUGCAGUGCUUGAGUACAGAUGAGGUGGGCGGAAUGUGUCAUGUAGCGGUGAAAUGCAUAGAUAUGACACAGAACACCGAUUGCGAAGGCAGCUCACUAAACUGUAACUGACGCUGAGGCACGAAAGCGUGGGGAUCAAACAGGAUUAGAUACCCUGGUAGUCCACGCCCUAAACGAUGAUUACUCGAUGUUAGCGAUAUACAGUUAGCGUCAAAGCGAAAGCGUUAAGUAAUCCACCUGGGGAGUACGCCGGCAACGGUGAAACUCAAAGGAAUUGACGGGGGCCCGCACAAGCGGAGGAGCAUGUGGUUUAAUUCGAUGAUACGCGAGGAACCUUACCCGGGCUUGAAAGUUAGUGAAUGAACCAGAAAUGGAUCAGUCCGCAAGGACACGAAACUAGGUGCUGCAUGGCUGUCGUCAGCUCGUGCCGUGAGGUGUUGGGUUAAGUCCCGCAACGAGCGCAACCCCUAUGUUUAGUUGCCAGCACGUAAUGGUGGGGACUCUAAACAGACUGCCUACGCAAGUAGAGAGGAAGGAGGGGACGACGUCAAGUCAUCAUGGCCCUUACGUCCGGGGCUACACACGUGCUACAAUGGUCGAUACAGAGGGCAGCAAGCUAGCAAUAGUAAGCAAAUCUCAAAAAGUCGAUCACAGUUCGGAUUGGGGUCUGCAACUCGACCCCAUGAAGUUGGAUUCGCUAGUAAUCGCAUAUCAGCAAUGAUGCGGUGAAUACGUUCCCGGGCCUUGUACACACCGCCCGUCAAGCCAUGAAAGCUGGGGGAACCUGAAGUCUGUCACCGCAAGGAGCGGCCUAGGUAAA
This 973-nucleotide ribosomal RNA is filed under the name bacterium enrichment culture clone B-MY11. RNAcentral's name for it is "bacterial SSU rRNA". It matches the Rfam family "Bacterial small subunit ribosomal RNA", at positions 480 to 1466 of the family's 1533-position model. The record is from RNAcentral. RNAcentral also lists the same sequence under 1 other name.